Molecule: unclassified non-coding RNA, 253 nt
Filed under: uncultured Halomonadaceae bacterium
Lineage: Bacteria; Pseudomonadati; Pseudomonadota; Gammaproteobacteria; Oceanospirillales; Halomonadaceae
Description: contains 16S-23S intergenic spacer region
Rfam family: Bacterial small subunit ribosomal RNA
Source: RNAcentral
UACGGAGGGUGCGGGCGUUAAUCGGAAUUACUGGGCGUAAAGCGCGCGUAGGCGGCCUGAUAAGUCGGUUGUGAAAGCCCCGGGCUCAACCUGGGAACCGCAUCCGGAACUGUCAGGCUAGAGUGCAGGAGAGGAAGGUAGAAUUCCCGGUGUAGCGGUGAAAUGCGUAGAGAUCGGGAGGAACACCAGUGGCGAAGGCGGCCUUCUGGACUGACACUGACGCUGAGGCGCGAAAGCGUGGGUAGCAAACAGG